Long non-coding RNA from Mobula hypostoma (lesser devil ray), 999 nucleotides. RefSeq lists it as uncharacterized. The transcript has 5 exons. The record is from RefSeq and is a predicted model, not a curated record. Lineage: Eukaryota; Metazoa; Chordata; Chondrichthyes; Myliobatiformes; Myliobatidae.
GAACGGCCGCCGGGAGCCGCGUGCGCGCGCGCGCGCGCGUCCCAUUCGGCGCGAGCGGCCGCCGUCAGGCUCAGGAAGAUGUGUGGCAAGGUCGAGCAGCAGAGACAGACUUGAGAACUUGGAUCACUUGGGUGACACGGUGGCAUAGUAGUCAGCACAGCAGUUUACAGUACAGGAGACCCGGGUUCAGUUCCCGACCACUGCAGAUAUGGUCAAAAUGACAAUAAAAGGUGACUUGACUUGACUUGCUGGGCGGUGCGGCUCGAAAGGCCGGAAGGGCCUACUUCGCACGGUAUUUCAAUGAAUGAGAUCGUUACUCGCUCUGGACACGCUCCAGAGGAAAGAGAAAAGACGAGGAAGGAGGCGGCAGAGUCUACGCUGAAGAUAUGCCCACCAAGAACAGAGAUAGGAAACUGCAGUUGUGGCCUCGUCCUAAAGUAGAGGAAUGCAAAGAUCUCAGGGGGUUCCAAGGCUGGAAGACACGAGAGAGAGAGAGAUUCUUUUGUAGACCCUGACCUGAAGUCACAAGCUGACUCCGGUUCUUUGCGGGAAUGGGACCCACUCUUAGGAUUUCACAACUGGCCGAUGUUAGGCACGCCAAGGGCUCGGCCUAAGAGCCCGGCUUGGAUUUGGAAGCUGAGGAUCCUGAGGAUCUGGAGACAGGCAGAUUGAGGGUUGGUGUCAUGGCAGGAUACCUGUGUGUCGUCGGAGGAGUGCGGAUAUCUACGGCUGUGUGCCUGGAGAGCCGGGAUCUUUGAGAUCUUCUGGCACAGAGCUUGAAAAAAACGACAUAAUAGACUUUUAACAUCGUAAACCAGCAAGUUGUUUGUUAUGUCAUCCGGCUCACUGUGAAACAGAGACAUCUCUUUCUCCCUUGUUAGCGAGAGAGAGAGAGCCUGUGGUAUGUCGAAUACCGGGUGAAACGUGAAGUCUUUGGAGUACUGCAAGUCUGUGUCUUUGCUGUUGCUUUGCUGCACACUUGAGUGCUUGGGGGCAAGU